This 450-nucleotide ribosomal RNA is filed under the name uncultured bacterium. Its description in RNAcentral is "partial 16S ribosomal RNA". It matches the Rfam family "Bacterial small subunit ribosomal RNA", at positions 29 to 523 of the family's 1533-position model. The record is from RNAcentral.
AGCGAACAUUGGCGGUAGGCUUAACACAUGCAAGUCGAGCGAGGCGUAAUAGUCGAGCGGCGAACGGGUGAGUAAUACAUGGGAAUCUACCCUGAAGUGGGGGAUAACGUUCAGAAAUGGACGCUAAUACCGCAUAAUCCACAUUGGGAAAGCGUUGCAGCGCUUUAGGAUGAGCCCAUGGCUGAUUAGCUAGUUGGUGAGGUAAUGGCUCACCAAGGCGACGAUCAGUAGCUGGUCUGAGAGGAUGAUCAGCCACACUGGAACUGAGACACGGUCCAGACUCCUACGGGAGGCAGCAGUGGGGAAUCUUGCGCAAUGGGGGCAACCCUGACGCAGCCAUACUGCGUGAGUGAUGAAGGUCUUCGGAUUGUAAAGCUCUUUCGGCGGGGACGACGAUGACGGUACCCGCAAAAGAAGUCACGGCUAACUUCGUGCCAGCAGCCGCCGUAA